GGAAUAUUGGUCAAUGGGCGAGAGCCUGAACCAGCCAAGUAGCGUGCAGGACGACGGCCCUAUGGGUUGUAAACUGCUUUUAUGCGGGGAUAAAGUGUGGGACGCGUCCCAUAUUGUAGGUACCGCAUGAAUAAGGACCGGCUACUUCCGUGCCAGCAGCCGCGGUAAUACGGAAGGUCCGGGCGUUAUCCGGAUUUAUUGGGUUUAAAGGGAGCGCAGGCCGUAGGUCAAGCGUGACGUGAAAUGUAGCCGCUCAACGGCUGCACUGCGUCGCGAACUGGCUUUCUUGAGUGAGUUCGAUGUAGGCGGAAUUCGUGGUGUAGCGGUGAAAUGCUUAGAUAUCACGAAGAACCCCGAUUGCGAAGGCAGCCUACAAGGCCUUUACUGACGCUAAAGCUCGAAGGUGCGGGUAUCGAACA
This 419-nucleotide ribosomal RNA is filed under the name uncultured Prevotella sp. RNAcentral's name for it is "bacterial SSU rRNA". It matches the Rfam family "Bacterial small subunit ribosomal RNA", at positions 358 to 774 of the family's 1533-position model. The record is from RNAcentral. Lineage: Bacteria; Pseudomonadati; Bacteroidota; Bacteroidia; Bacteroidales; Prevotellaceae.